This 377-nucleotide ribosomal RNA is filed under the name uncultured bacterium. RNAcentral's name for it is "bacterial SSU rRNA". It matches the Rfam family "Bacterial small subunit ribosomal RNA", at positions 29 to 431 of the family's 1533-position model. The record is from RNAcentral.
AACGAACGCUGGCGGCAUGCCUAACACAUGCAAGUCGAACGAGACCUUCGGGUCUAGUGGCGCACGGGUGCGUAACACGUGGGAAUUUGCCUCGGGGUAUGGAAUAACUCAGGGAAACUUGAGCUAAUACCAUAUAAUGUCUUCGGACCAAAGAUUUAUCGCCCUGAGAUAAGCCCGCGUAGGAUUAGCUAGUUGGUGGGGUAAAGGCUCACCAAGGCGACGAUCCUUAGCUGGUCUGAGAGGAUGAUCAGCCACACUGGGACUGAGACACGGCCCAGACUCCUACGGGAGGCAGCAGUGGGGAAUAUUGGACAAUGGGCGGAAAGGCCUGAUCCAGCAAUGCCGCGUGAGUGAUGAAGGCCUUAGGGUUGUAAAGC